UAGGGAAUCUUCCACAAUGGACGCAAGUCUGAUGGAGCAACGCCGCGUGAGUGAAGAAGGGUUUCGGCUCGUAAAGCUCUGUUGGUAGUGAAGAAAGAUAGAGGUAGUAACUGGCCUUUAUUUGACGGUAAUUACUUAGAAAGUCACGGCUAACUACGUGCCAGCAGCCGCGGUAAUACGUAGGUGGCAAGCGUUGUCCGGAUUUAUUGGGCGUAAAGCGAGCGCAGGCGGUUCAAUAAGUCUGAUGUGAAAGCCUUCGGCUCAACCGGAGAAUUGCAUCAGAAACUGUUGAACUUGAGUGCAGAAGAGGAGAGUGGAACUCCAUGUGUAGCGGUGGAAUGCGUAGAUAUAUGGAAGAACACCAGUGGCGAAGGCGGCUCUCUGGUCUGCAACUGACGCUGAGGCUCGAAAGCAUGGGUAGCGAACAGGAUUAGAUACCCUGGUAGUCCAUGCCGUAAACGAUGAGUGCUAAGUGUUGGGAGGUUUCCGCCUCUCAGUGCUGCAGCUAACGCAUUAAGCACUCCGCCUGGGGAGUACGACCGCAAGGUUG
RNAcentral lists this ribosomal RNA (550 nucleotides) under uncultured bacterium. Its description in RNAcentral is "bacterial SSU rRNA". It matches the Rfam family "Bacterial small subunit ribosomal RNA", at positions 355 to 896 of the family's 1533-position model. The record is from RNAcentral.